Molecule: transfer RNA, 75 nt
Filed under: Trametes pubescens
Lineage: Eukaryota; Fungi; Basidiomycota; Agaricomycetes; Polyporales; Polyporaceae
Description: tRNA-Ile
Rfam family: tRNA (bases 8-66)
About the family: Transfer RNA (tRNA) molecules are approximately 80 nucleotides in length.
Source: RNAcentral
GGUUGGCUAGCUCAGUUGGUUAGAGCGUGGUGCUAAUAACGCCAAGGUCGUCGGUUCGACCCCGGCGGUUGGCCA